Long non-coding RNA from Leptonychotes weddellii (Weddell seal), 1111 nucleotides. RefSeq lists it as uncharacterized. The record is from RefSeq and is a predicted model, not a curated record. Lineage: Eukaryota; Metazoa; Chordata; Mammalia; Carnivora; Phocidae.
GGCCUGCUAACCCGCUAGCUCUCCAGCCGGCUGGAGGGACGCGUCCAGUGCGUUCACUAGGUCCAGCCGCCGGCCCCCCUCGAAUCUGCUCGCGCUCGGCAGCGGCGGCGCGGAGGGCAGGAGGUGUCUGGUCAGCGGGUUGCGGAGGAUCGUGCGGGUAGCAAAGGGAGGGCGAGUGCCCCUGCAGCCGCAGACAACAACCAGAACAUGCAUCACUGUUAGAACCAUCACCCUGCAGCUAGCUUGGACACCAUUAAAAGGGCUCAUCAGCUGCAAACGGAUAGAAGUAUCUGGUAUUCGUGAAGACAGAGUUUUGGGGCUGCCACCUGGAGCUACGCCCUCCAGAAGCCCCUGCUUGGCCUCCCUGCACCCAACCCCACACCAAGCAGUCACAACUCGGGCUGUGUGUGGUGUUUCUUGGCAAUUGGAACGCAGACUCCUCCAGCGGCUCCACAGCCCCCUUGUCCUCAGUGAGCAGAAGACCACAGAAGCUGGCUCCUGAAGAGGCUGUCCAAGCGAUAGAGCUCCUCCUUGGCUCUGCUUAGCACAUUUACCACACAGGAGUGCUGGAUGUUCCUCAUUCCUGCUCACUACCCACGGGGACUGUAGAGGGAUUUGUCAGGCCCCAUUUCACCAAGGGCCACCCUGUAAGGAUCUCCACAGGAGGCCGCCCAUAGAGAGAAGGGGCCUGCCUGGGUUCUCCACUGCCUUAAGGCCUACGUGGACACCCUCCAGGGCUGAGGGGAUCAAAACCUUUUCACCUACCCGUGAUCCACAUUAUCAGCUGCAAAGUUCUGCCUCCGAGUUUGUGUUAUUUUGUUUGUUUUUUUGUUUUGUUUUGUUUUGUUUUUGGUAGAAAAAGUUUUAACUGCUUCUUCCAUUCCUGUAGUAACUAGAGGGCUACUCGGGAUUUCUUUUUGCUUCUUGAGUCAAUUUUGGUAAGUUAUCGAUUUCUAGGAAUCAGUCCAUUUUAUCUGCGUUCUCGAAUUUAUUGGCAUAAAGUUCCCUUUUUAAAAAAUCCUCUGCUGUAUAUAAUCUGUAACUAUGUCUCCUUUUUCAUUGCUGAUAUUGGUUAUUUGUGCCUUCUCACUUUUUUUCUUGAUCAAUCUCA